CACCGGGAUAGUGCUAAGGGUGGGCGGUGAUUUCUCAGGUACUGACCAAAAGUAUUCCAGUCUCGCCUCUUUUGGGAUUCAUAACGACUUAAUGGGAGUGAUGGCAGUGGAGGGGGGAGUGGUGGUGGUGAUGAGGUUACCUGCUGCAGCUGUUGAUGAUGGUUCCCAUUUCUUGAUGAGCCUGUAGAAUUGCAAACCACCGCGGCGGCGGCGGCAGCGGCGAUUGCAGCUGACAUGUUUGGAGUUUAGAAAAAUACGAAGGGGAGAGAUGUUUGGUGGUGGAGCAGAGAAGAAGCUAGAGAAAUUGGAUGUUUUAAGGUAUAAAAUUUUGGAGCUCUAUGCACACACACAUAUAUAUGCGAUCUCUGAAAAGAGUACUGCAGCUAGCUUGGAUUGGCGAAACAAUUAUGCUCAGAAGAGAGCAUAUAGAUAAGUUUUUUGGCACUUUAGAGGGAAAAAAAUAGGGAUAUAAAUACAAAUACACCCAAGAAUCACACAGAAUGGUGGGGAGAGAGAGAGAGAGAGAGAGCCUGAAGCCUCGCAAGGAAUGGAGGAGGAGAGAC
This 563-nucleotide unclassified non-coding RNA is filed under the name Hevea brasiliensis (rubber tree). The record is from RNAcentral. Lineage: Eukaryota; Viridiplantae; Streptophyta; Magnoliopsida; Malpighiales; Euphorbiaceae.